AGUCGAAAAAUACGAACAACAGUUUAAAACUUAAAGAUUUUGGCGGUGUCUUAUCGAACCAGGGGAACCUGUCUCAUAAUUCGAUAAUCCACGAUAACCCUACCCUAUCUAGAUCAAACAGCUUGUGUACUGCCGUCGUAAGCACACCUCUAAAAGUAGUAAGUAUGCAAUAAUGAUAUUCUCAUUUACGUCAGGUCAAAGUGCAGCUUAUGAAAGGGAGAUGAUGGGUUACACCCUAAAUAAAGAUACCAAUUGUAACACCAAAAGUUACAUAAAGGUGGACUUGGUUGUAAUUAUAAUUCAAUACUAUAAUGAAAACGAAUCUAAGACAUGCACACAUCGCCCGUCACUCUCGCCUAAAGGCG
RNAcentral lists this ribosomal RNA (365 nucleotides) under Bimastos palustris. Its description in RNAcentral is "partial 12S ribosomal RNA". It matches the Rfam family "Bacterial small subunit ribosomal RNA", at positions 875 to 1415 of the family's 1533-position model. Lineage: Eukaryota; Metazoa; Annelida; Clitellata; Crassiclitellata; Lumbricidae. The record is from RNAcentral.